AAUAUUUGACAAUGGGGGCAACCCUGAUCCAGCCAUGCCGCGUGUUUGAAGAAGGNCUNNGGAUUNUNAAGCACUUUUAGUUGNNNNNAAGGGCUUUAGGCUAAUACCCUGAAGUUUUGACGUUACCAACAGAAUAAGCAUCGGCUCACGCUUUGCCAGCAGCCGCGGUAAUACAGCGGGUGCAAGCGUUAAUCGGAAUUACUGGGCGUAAAGCGCGCGUAGGUGGUUCAGUAAGAUGGGUGUGAAAUCCCCGGGCUUAACCUGGGAACUGCUUUCAUAACUGCUGAGCUAGAGUACGGUAGAGGGUAGUGGAAUUUCCUGUGUAGCGGUGAAAUGCGUAGAUAUAGGAAGGAACACCAGUGGCGAAGGCGACUACCUGGACUGAUACUGACACUGAGGUGCGAAAGCGUGGGGAGCAAAC
This 421-nucleotide ribosomal RNA is filed under the name uncultured bacterium. RNAcentral's name for it is "partial 16S ribosomal RNA". It matches the Rfam family "Bacterial small subunit ribosomal RNA", at positions 360 to 773 of the family's 1533-position model. The record is from RNAcentral.